CUUGACAUCCAGAGAACUUGGCAGAGAUGCUUUGGUGCCUUCGGGAACUCUGAGACAGGUGCUGCAUGGCUGUCGUCAGCUCGUGUUGUGAAAUGUUGGGUUAAGUCCGCAACGAGCGCAACCCCUAUCCUUUGUUGCCAGCGAUUCGGUCGGGAACUCAAAGGAGACUGCCGGUGAUAAACCGGAGGAAGGUGGGGAUGACGUCAAGUCAUCAUGGCCCUUACGAGUAGGGCUACACACGUGCUACAAUGGCGCAUACAAAGAGAAGCGACCUCGCGAGAGCAAGCGGACCUCAUAAAGUGCGUCGUAGUCCGGAUCGGAGUCUGCGACUCGACUCCGUGAAGUCGGAAUCGCUAGUAAUCGUAGAUCAGAAUGCUACGGUGAAUACGUUCCCGGGCCUUGUACACACCGCCCGUCACACCAUGGGAGUGGGUUGCAAAAGAAGUAGAUAGCUUAACCUUCGGGAGGGCGUUUACCACUUUGUGAUUCAUGACUGGGGUGAAGUCGUAACAAGGUAAGCGUAGACGU
Molecule: ribosomal RNA, 528 nt
Filed under: uncultured bacterium
Lineage: Bacteria
Description: bacterial SSU rRNA
Rfam family: Bacterial small subunit ribosomal RNA
Source: RNAcentral